AAUAGAUGACGCCGUUGACUUUUUCUCACAUGUUCGACCAUUCGUCUUAUUCAAAAAUUUUAUGCAAUUAAUUAUAAUUUAUUUUGUUAUGAGUUGUUUAUCACUCAUAGUACUUUAAGUGUGAUUUAUAUCUUAUACAUUUGCAUAAAAUUUUUGAAUAAGACGAAUGGUUAAACAUGUGAGAAAAAGUCAACGGCGUUAUCUAUU
RNAcentral lists this microRNA precursor (207 nucleotides) under Oryza barthii. RNAcentral describes it as "MIR812 microRNA precursor family". It matches the Rfam family "MIR812 microRNA precursor family". The record is from Rfam by way of RNAcentral. Lineage: Eukaryota; Viridiplantae; Streptophyta; Magnoliopsida; Poales; Poaceae.